Molecule: ribosomal RNA, 556 nt
Filed under: uncultured marine ciliate
Lineage: Eukaryota; Ciliophora
Description: partial 18S ribosomal RNA
Rfam family: Eukaryotic small subunit ribosomal RNA
Source: RNAcentral
UNANUUCAGNGNGGNAGNGNCNAGAAAUAACNNCUCNGNNNNCNUUGNNUUNUGAGAUUGCAAUGAAUACAACUUAAANCCCUUAAUGAGGAUCAAUUGGAGGGCAAGUCUGGUGCCAGCAGNNNNGGUAAUUCCAGCUCCAAUAGCGUAUAUUUAAGUUGUUGCAGUUAAAAAGCUCGUAGUUGGAUUUCUGGCAGGACUCUAAUGUCCGCUCGUUGCGUGUGCAUAUGAGUCCUGCCAUCCUUCUGUUAACUGUUCUGGUAUUCGUUUACUGGUUCAGAGCCCAGAUAUUUUACCUUGAGAAAAUUAGAGUGUUUCAGGCAGGCUUGCGCUUGAAUACAUUAGCAUGGAAUAAUAGAAUAGGACUUUGGUCUCUUUUGUUGGUUUGAGGGACUAGAGUAAUGAUUAAUAGGGACAGUUGGGGGCAUUAGUAUUUAAUUGUCAGAGGUGAAAUUCUCGGAUUUGUUAAAGACUAACUUAUGCGAAAGCAUUUGCCAAGGAUGUUUUCAUUAAUCAAGAACGAAAGUUAGGGGAUCAAAGACGAUCAGAUACCGUC